Molecule: unclassified non-coding RNA, 252 nt
Filed under: Xylaria sp.
Lineage: Eukaryota; Fungi; Ascomycota; Sordariomycetes; Xylariales; Xylariaceae
Description: partial internal transcribed spacer region
Rfam family: Eukaryotic small subunit ribosomal RNA (bases 1-46)
Source: RNAcentral
AAGUCGUAACAAGGUCUCCGUUGGUGAACCAGCGGAGGGAUCAUUAUAGAGUUCUAAAAAACUCCCAACCCAUGUGGACAUACCUCUAGUUGCCUCGGCAGGUCGCACCUACCCGGUGAAGCCUUACCCUGUAAGGCCUACCCUGUAGGCGCGGACAAGCCUGCCAGUGGAACUAUAAACUCUGUUUAUUAUUGAAUUCUGACACUAUAACUUAAUAAGUUAAAACUUUCAACAACGGAUCUCUUGGUUCUG